Molecule: non-coding RNA, 72 nt
Organism: Apaloderma vittatum (bar-tailed trogon)
Lineage: Eukaryota; Metazoa; Chordata; Aves; Trogoniformes; Trogonidae
Source: Rfam
GGCCGGUUAGCUCAGUCAGUUGAGCAUAACGCUAACAACGCUAAGGUCGUGGGUUCAAUUCCCGUUCGGUCC